RNAcentral lists this ribosomal RNA (388 nucleotides) under uncultured bacterium. RNAcentral's name for it is "bacterial SSU rRNA". It matches the Rfam family "Bacterial small subunit ribosomal RNA", at positions 29 to 417 of the family's 1533-position model. The record is from RNAcentral.
AUUGAACGCUGGCGGCAUGCCUUACACAUGCAAGUCGAACGGCAGCACGGGGAGCAAUCCUGGUGGCGAGUGGCGAACGGGUGAGUAAUACAUCGGAACGUGUCCAGUUGUGGGGGAUAGCCCGGCGAAAGCCGGAUUAAUACCGCAUACGACCUACGGGUGAAAGCGGGGGAUCGCAAGACCUCGCGCUAUUGGGGCGGCCGAUGUCAGAUUAGCUUGUUGGUGGGGUAAAAGCCUACCAAGGCGACGAUCUGUAGCUGGUCUGAGAGGACGACCAGCCACACUGGGACUGAGAAACGGCCCAGACUCCUACGGGAGGCAGCAGUGGGGAAUUUUGGACAAUGGGCGCAAGCCUGAUCCAGCCAUGCCGCGUGCGGGAAGAAGGCCU